This 497-nucleotide ribosomal RNA is filed under the name uncultured bacterium. Its description in RNAcentral is "partial 16S ribosomal RNA". It matches the Rfam family "Bacterial small subunit ribosomal RNA", at positions 28 to 507 of the family's 1533-position model. The record is from RNAcentral.
GAUGAACGCUGGCGGCGUGCCUAAUACAUGCAAGUCGAGCGAACAGACGAGGAGCUUGCUCCUCUGACGUUAGCGGCGGACGGGUGAGUAACACGUGGAUAACCUACCUAUAAGACUGGGAUAACUUCGGGAAACCGGAGCUAAUACCGGAUAAUAUAUUGAACCGCAUGGUUCAAUAGUGAAAGACGGUUUUGCUGUCACUUAUAGAUGGAUCCGCGCCGCAUUAGCUAGUUGGUAAGGUAACGGCUUACCAAGGCAACGAUGCGUUGCCGACCUGAGAGGGUGAUCGGCCACACUGGAACUGAGACACGGUCCAGACUCCUACGGGAGGCAGCAGUAGGGAAUCUUCCGCAAAGGGCGAAAGCCUGACGGAGCAACGCCGCGUGAGUGAUGAAGGUCUUCGGAUCGUAAAACUCUGUUAUUAGGGAAGAACAAAUGUGUAAGUAACUAUGCACGUCUUGACGGUACCUAAUCAGAAAGCCACGGCUAACUACGUG